Molecule: ribosomal RNA, 446 nt
Filed under: uncultured bacterium
Lineage: Bacteria
Description: partial 16S ribosomal RNA
Rfam family: Bacterial small subunit ribosomal RNA
Source: RNAcentral
CCUACGGGUGACAGCAGUCGAGAAUCAUUCACAAUGGGGGCAACCCUGAUGGUGCGACGCCGCGUGGGGGAAUGAAGGUCUUCGGAUUGUAAACCCCUGUCAUGUGGGAGCAAAUUAAAAAGAUAGUACCACAAGAGGAAGAGACGGCUAACUCUGUGCCAGCAGCCGCGGGAAUACAGAGGUCUCAAGCGUUGUUCGGCAUCACUGGGCGUAAAGCGUGCGUAGGCUGUUUCGUAAGUCGUGUGUGAAAGGCGCGGGCUCAACCCGCGGACGGCACAUGAUACUGCGAGACUAGAGUAAUGGAGGGGGAACCGGAAUUCUCGGUGUAGCAGUGAAAUGCGUAGAUAUCGAGAGGAACACUCGUGGCGAAGGCGGGUUCCUGGACAUUAACUGACGCUGAGGCACGAAGGUCAGGGGAGCGAAAGGGAUUAGAUACCCCGGUAGUC